UACGGGAGGCAGCAGUGGGGAAUAUUGCACAAUGGGCGCAAGCCUGAUGCAGCCAUGCCGCGUGUAUGAAAAAGGCCUUCGGGUUGUAAAGUACUUUCAGUCGUGAGGAAGGUGUUAAGGUUAAUAACCUUAGCAAUUGACGUUAGCGACAGAAGAAGCACCGGCUAACUCCGUGCCAGCAGCCGCGGUAAUACGGAGGGUGCGAGCGUUAAUCGGAAUUACUGGGCGUAAAGGGCACGCAGGCGGUUAAUUAAGUUGGAUGUGAAAUCCCCCGGGCUUAACCUGGGAAUGGCAUUCAAGACUGGUUAGCUAGAGUCUUGUAGAGGGGGUUAGAAUUCCAUGUGUAGCGGUGAAAUGCGUAGAGAUGUGGAGGAAUACCGGUGGCGAAGGCGGCCCCUGGACAAAGACUGACGCUCAUGUGCGAAAGCGUGGGGAGCAAACAGGGAUUAGAUACC
Molecule: ribosomal RNA, 455 nt
Filed under: uncultured bacterium
Lineage: Bacteria
Description: bacterial SSU rRNA
Rfam family: Bacterial small subunit ribosomal RNA
Source: RNAcentral